AUUGAACGCUGGCGGCAGGCCUAACACAUGCAAGUCGAACGGUAACAGGGAUCAGCUUGCUGAUUCGCUGACGAGUGGCGGACGGGUGAGUAAUGUCUGGGAAACUGCCUGAUGGAGGGGGAUAACUACUGGAAACGGUAGCUAAUACCGCAUAACGUCGCAAGACCAAAGAGGGGGACCUUCGGGCCUCUUGCCAUCGGAUGUGCCCAGAUGGGAUUAGCUAGUAGGUGGGGUAACGGCUCACCUAGGCGACGAUCCCUAGCUGGUCUGAGAGGAUGACCAGCCACACUGGAACUGAGACACGGUCCAGACUCCUACGGGAGGCAGCAGUGUGGAAUAUUGCACAAUGGGCGCAAGCCUGAUGCAGCCAUGCCGCGUGUAUGAAGAAGGCCUUCGGGUUGUAAAGUACUUUCAGCGGGGAGGAAGGGAGUAAAGUUAAUACCUUUGCUCAUUGACGUUACCCGCAGAAGAAGCACCGGCUAACUCCGUG
RNAcentral lists this ribosomal RNA (490 nucleotides) under uncultured bacterium. RNAcentral's name for it is "partial 16S ribosomal RNA". It matches the Rfam family "Bacterial small subunit ribosomal RNA", at positions 30 to 507 of the family's 1533-position model. The record is from RNAcentral.